AGAGUUUGAUCAUGGCUCAGAUUGAACGCUGGCGGCAGGCCUAACACAUGCAAGUCGAACGGUAACAGGAAGCAGCUUGCUGCUUCGCUGACGAGUGGCGGACGGGUGAGUAAUGUCUGGGAAACUGCCUGAUGGAGGGGGAUAACUACUGGAAACGGUGGCUAAUACCGCAUAACGUCGCAAGACCAAAGAGGGGGACCUUCGGGCCUCUUGCCAUCAGAUGUGCCCAGAUGGGAUUAGCUAGUUGGUGAGGUAAUGGCUCACCAAGGCGACGAUCCCUAGCUGGUCUGAGAGGAUGACCAGCCACACUGGAACUGAGACACGGUCCAGACUCCUACGGGAGGCAGCAGUGGGGAAUAUUGCACAAUGGGCGCAAGCCUGAUGCAGCCAUGCCGCGUGUAUGAAGAAGGCCUUCGGGUUGUAAAGUACUUUCAGCGGGGAGGAAGGUGUUGUGGUUAAUAACCGCAGCAAUUGACGUUACCCGCAGAAGAAGCACCGGCUAACUCCGUGCCAGCAGCCGCGGUAAUACGGAGGGUGCAAGCGUUAAUCGGAAUUACUGGGCGUAAAGCGCACGCAGGCGGUCUGUCAAGUCGGAUGUGAAAUCCCCGGGCUCAACCUGGGAACUGCAUUCGAAACUGGCAGGCUUGAGUCUUGUAGAGGGGGGUAGAAUUCCAGGUGUAGCGGUGAAAUGCGUAGAGAUCUGGAGGAAUACCGGUGGCGAAGGCGGCCCCCUGGACAAAGACUGACGCUCAGGUGCGAAAGCGUGGGGAGCAAACAGGAUUAGAUACCCUGGUAGUCCACGCCGUAAACGAUGUCUACUUGGAGGUUGUGCCCUUGAGGCGUGGCUUCCGGAGCUAACGCGUUAAGUAGACCGCCUGGGGAGUACGGCCGCAAGGUUAAAACUCAAAUGAAUUGACGGGGGCCCGCACAAGCGGUGGAGCAUGUGGUUUAAUUCGAUGCAACGCGAAGAACCUUACCUGGUCUUGACAUCCACAGAACUUUCCAGAGAUGGAUUGGUGCCUUCGGGAACUGUGAGACAGGUGCUGCAUGGCUGUCGUCAGCUCGUGUUGUGAAAUGUUGGGUUAAGUCCCGCAACGAGCGCAACCCUUAUCCUUUGUUGCCAGCGGUCCGGCCGGGAACUCAAAGGAGACUGCCAGUGAUAAACUGGAGGAAGGUGGGGAUGACGUCAAGUCAUCAUGGCCCUUACGACCAGGGCUACACACGUGCUACAAUGGCGCAUACAAAGAGAAGCGACCUCGCGAGAGCAAGCGGACCUCAUAAAGUGCGUCGUAGUCCGGAUUGGAGUCUGCAACUCGACUCCAUGAAGUCGGAAUCGCUAGUAAUCGUGGAUCAGAAUGCCACGGUGAAUACGUUCCCGGGGCCUUGUACACACCGCCCGUCACACCAUGGGAGUGGGUUGCAAAAGAAGUAGGUAGCUUAACCUUCGGGAGGGCGCUUACCACUUUGUGAUUCAUGACUGGGGUGAAGUCGUAACAAGGUAACCGUAGGGGAACCUGCGGUUGGAUCACCU
RNAcentral lists this ribosomal RNA (1531 nucleotides) under Salmonella enterica subsp. enterica. Its description in RNAcentral is "bacterial SSU rRNA". It matches the Rfam family "Bacterial small subunit ribosomal RNA". The record is from RNAcentral. Lineage: Bacteria; Pseudomonadati; Pseudomonadota; Gammaproteobacteria; Enterobacterales; Enterobacteriaceae.